Molecule: ribosomal RNA, 301 nt
Filed under: uncultured bacterium
Lineage: Bacteria
Description: partial 16S ribosomal RNA
Rfam family: Bacterial small subunit ribosomal RNA
Source: RNAcentral
CAGUAGCCGCGGUAAUACGUAGGGUGCAAGCGUUAAUCGGAAUUACUGGGCGUAAAGCGUGCGCAGGCGGUUAUAUAAGACAGAUGUGAAAUCCCCGGGCUCAACCUGGGAACUGCAUUUGUGACUGUAUAGCUAGAGUACGGCAGAGGGGGAUGGAAUUCCGCGUGUAGCAGUGAAAUGCGUAGAUAUGCGGAGGAACACCGAUGGCGAAGGCAAUCCCCUGGGCCUGUACUGACGCUCAUGCACGAAAGCGUGGGGAGCAAACAGGAUUAGAGACCCCUGUAGUCCCUGUUCUUAUACA